RNAcentral lists this ribosomal RNA (481 nucleotides) under uncultured bacterium. Its description in RNAcentral is "partial 16S ribosomal RNA". It matches the Rfam family "Bacterial small subunit ribosomal RNA", at positions 28 to 507 of the family's 1533-position model. The record is from RNAcentral.
GAUGAACGCUGGCGGCGUGCCUAACACAUGCAAGUCGAACGGAGAUUACGGACGGAAGUUUUCGGAUGGAAGCCUGUAAUUCUUAGUGGCGGACGGGUGAGUAACGCGUGGGCAACCUGCCCUAUACAGGGGGAUAGCAGCUGGAAACGGCUGGUAAGACCGCAUAAGUCGGUUAAAUCGCAUGAUUUGAUCGGGAAAUGAGCAAUCAGGUAUAGGAUGGGCCCGCGUCCGAUUAGCCAGUUGGCAGGGUAAAAGCCUACCAAAGCGACGAUCAGUAGCCGGACUGAGAGGUCGGACGGCCACAUUGGGACUGAGACACGGCCCAAACUCCUACGGGAGGCAGCAGUGGGGGAUAUUGCACAAUGGAGGAAACUCUGAUGCAGCGACGCCGCGUGAGUGAAGAAGUAUUUCGGUAUGUAAAGCUCUAUCAGCAGGGAAGAUGAUGACGGUACCUGACUAAGAAGCCCCGGCUAACUACGUG